This 253-nucleotide ribosomal RNA is filed under the name uncultured bacterium. RNAcentral's name for it is "partial 16S ribosomal RNA". It matches the Rfam family "Bacterial small subunit ribosomal RNA", at positions 524 to 776 of the family's 1533-position model. The record is from RNAcentral.
UACGGGGGGAGCAAGCGUUGUUCGGAAUUACUGGGCGUAAAGGGCGUGUAGGCGGCCAACUAAGUCCGACGUGAAAUCCCCAGGCUUAACCUGGGAACUGCGUCGGAUACUGGAUGGCUUGAAUCCGGGAGAGGGAUGCAGAAUUCCAGGUGUAGCGGUGAAAUGCGUAGAUAUCUGGAGGAAUACCGGUGGCGAAGGCGGCAUCCUGGACCGGCAUUGACGCUGAAGCGCGAAAGCUAGGGGAGCAAACGGG